Microcebus murinus (gray mouse lemur) is the source of this 1775-nucleotide non-coding RNA. The record is from RefSeq and is a predicted model, not a curated record. NCBI's taxonomy places the organism in Eukaryota, Metazoa, Chordata, Mammalia, Primates, Cheirogaleidae.
CGGUCCCGCCCUCCAGAGUUGGUACCGCCCACACUCGUCACCUCCCAGCGCCCUUCCUUGGCCUGAUCCUGCCCUGAGGACCGACCCUGGCCCUGCAUCUGACUCAGCCUAAGGCCCAACCUUGUUCUUACUAAGAAAACUAGACUACGUCGGCCGCCCCACUCCUUGCUCGCGGCCCCACAUCGCCCUCCCUGCCGCCGCCAGCCCGAGACCGGAAGCGGACGUGCGGGGCGGUCCGCCCGACACCGGAAGCGGAAGCGCGGGGCGGUGCCGUGGGAGGAGCCGCACGUAGCGCGCCGGGGAGCGAGUCCCUUCGUCUCCGCGAGUCGGCGCAUUUGGCCCAGCGGGAGGGGUCGGACUCGCUGAGAAAAGCAUCUCUCAAGCUCAGAUUUGUGUUGAAACAAGCCUCAGAGUGCAUCUGUCCUCACUGAUCCGUGGGCUUCUGUGGGACUAGGAACUCCGGAGUGGCCUGGCCAGAAGCUUCUGGCUUGGAAUUUUCUGAAGGCUGCAGGAGGCUGUCAGCUGGACUGUGUCAUCGGAAGGCUCGACUGGUGCCCCAGGCUCACUCCCAUGGCUGGAAGGCCGGGGCUGGCUGUGGGCAGGAAGCCGCGGCUCCUCUGCACCUAGGCCCCCGAGCACGGCUGCGCUGAUCUCGUCCCACCAUGGCAACCAGCAUCCCCUAGGGCAGCGUCCAGAAGACCAAGACGGCAGCUGCAGUGCCUUCUAGGCCCUGGCCUUGGAAAUCACCCACUGUCCCCUCUGCCAGAUCUGCCGGUCACACAGAGCACGGUCCCGACGUCCCGUGGAAACAAGGGAAGGAGCGUCCUGCUCCUCCACUGCCCUGCGUGUUGGUGUCGGGUCACAGGAUGGCGGCCGUCCUCCUACCCCAAGCUGCUGGUGAGUCUUGGGGUCCCAGCAGCCCUCAGAGGCCAGGCCUGAGAGUUCCCCGACCCACAGCCUGGGACAGGGAGGGGUCUGGACAGAGCAGGCAGGACGGAUGGAGCCUCGGGGGCCACAGGUCCGGCGUCUGACUGGCAGCUCUUGGGAUUGAGGACUUAGGGGUUGGGGGUCUGUGGAUUUGCCGCCUGCGUGGUGAGUGUGCGGGAGUCUUGAAUUCUACCUGUCCUUCUUUCUGUAAAACGUGAUAAAAACACGUGAUGGUUUCCUCAUUUCUCUGUGAAAUGAGCAUAAUCUCUCAUCUAGUGUAGUUCUUUUUAUGGUGUGCAUGAGAGAGGGCUGGGCCCUGGUUUCUUAAUAAAGUUGGUGGGGGCCGUCUGUGGGGUGUAGACAUGUGCUGGGGGUGUGCCCGUGUGGGUGUCUGUGGAGUGUAGGCAUAUGCUGGGGAGUGUGCCCGUGUGGGUGUCUGUGGGGUGUAGGCGUGUGCUGGGGGGUGUGCCCGUGUGGGUGUCUGUGGGGUGUAGACAUGUGCUGGGGGUGUGCCCUUGUGAGUGUCUGGGGGGUGUAGACAUGCUGGGGGGUGUGCCCGUGUGGGUGUCUGUGGGGUGUAGACAUAUGCUGGGGGGUGUGCCCGUGUGGGUGUCUGUGGAGUGUAGAUAUGCUGGAGGGUGUGCCCAUGUGGGUGUCUGUGGGGCGUGUGUGUGUGCUGGGGGGUGUGCCCGUGUUGGUGUCUGUGGGGUGUAGACAUGCUAGGGGGUAUGCCCGUGUGAGUGCCUAUGGGGUGUAGACAUGCUGGGGGGUGUGCCCGUGUGGGUGUCUGUGGGAUGUAGACAUGCUGGGGGUGUGCUUGAGUGGGUGUCUGUGGGGUGUAGACAUGC